RNAcentral lists this ribosomal RNA (763 nucleotides) under uncultured Streptococcus sp. RNAcentral describes it as "bacterial SSU rRNA". It matches the Rfam family "Bacterial small subunit ribosomal RNA", at positions 28 to 776 of the family's 1533-position model. Lineage: Bacteria; Bacillati; Bacillota; Bacilli; Lactobacillales; Streptococcaceae. The record is from RNAcentral.
GACGAACGCUGGCGGCGUGCAUAAUACAUGCAAGUAGAACGCUGAAGGAGGAGCUUGCUUCUCCGGAUGAGUUGCGAACGGGUGAGUAACGCGUAGGUAACCUGCCUGGUAGCGGGGGAUAACUAUUGGAAACGAUAGCUAAUACCGCAUAACAGUAGAUAUCGCAUGAUAGCUGCUUGAAAGGUGCAAUUGCAUCACUACCAGAUGGACCUGCGUUGUAUUAGCUAGUUGGUGAGGUAACGGCUCACCAAGGCAACGAUACAUAGCCGACCUGAGAGGGUGAUCGGCCACACUGGGACUGAGACACGGCCCAGACUCCUACGGGAGGCAGCAGUAGGGAAUCUUCGGCAAUGGACGGAAGUCUGACCGAGCAACGCCGCGUGAGUGAAGAAGGUUUUCGGAUCGUAAAGCUCUGUUGUAAGAGAAGAACGAGUGUGAGAGUGGAAAGUUCACACUGUGACGGUAUCUUACCAGAAAGGGACGGCUAACUACGUGCCAGCAGCCGCGGUAAUACGUAGGUCCCGAGCGUUGUCCGGAUUUAUUGGGCGUAAAGCGAGCGCAGGCGGUUAGAUAAGUCUGAAGUUAAAGGCUGUGGCUUAACCAUAGUACGCUUUGGAAACUGUUUAACUUGAGUGCAAGAGGGGAGAGUGGAAUUCCAUGUGUAGCGGUGAAAUGCGUAGAUAUAUGGAGGAACACCGGUGGCGAAAGCGGCUCUCUGGCUUGUAACUGACGCUGAGGCUCGAAAGCGUGGGGAGCAAACAGG